Molecule: long non-coding RNA, 4928 nt
Filed under: Homarus americanus (American lobster)
Lineage: Eukaryota; Metazoa; Arthropoda; Malacostraca; Decapoda; Nephropidae
Description: uncharacterized LOC121868248, transcript variant X3
Source: RNAcentral
AGCAGAAGCAGCAGCAGUGUGUGUGUGUGGCGAGGAUGGUGGUGGUGGUGUGGUGUGGUGAAGCUCUCUGUGACGCCCUCGCCUCACACGUUAUAAACAGUAGUCCCGUGUGGUAGUGUUUAUGUGACUCGGCUGUACUAGCACUUUACAGGUCAACCGGAAGUCGCCCACGUCAACUAGGACCAUCUCCCCCCCCCGCCCACCACGACGCCCACCUCAAUUGGGUUUUACCGCCGCCGCCCAUCACCGACGCCCAUGCUAGCCCCUGUGACUCUGCUCCCUUCGGCUGCUACUCCCACAUGUUGAAUUGGUUAGCCAGCAGAUGGGUCCAGCCGUGAGAGGUGCGGGAUGCGGCUGGUGCGUCGGCGUGGGCUGGCGUGGCGGGAGGCGGCGGUGAAGGCUGCCGCCGCUAAGGCUCGCCCGCCCAAGCAGCCAGACCGCUGGGCUCAACUCCUAGAGCAGCUCAAGAACCCCGCCCCCUGUGACCACCCCUCGUGUAGAGGCGGCCACCAGCCCGGGGAGGACCACAACAUACCUACCAUACGCAGGGAGUCCCGGGCGAUGGUGGUGCAGAGACAAGCCAAGCAGGAAGAGGAGUUCCAGGGGUUCACGACUCGCCUGCUGGUGGUGUUGGCGCUGCUGCUGGCUGGUCUCACCGCCUUGGUGCUGUACACGCUCUUCUCCUCCCCAACUCUCCUCUCCCAGCAGCCCUCGACGCCCCAAGACUCCUAGCCAGACAGGAGGGCUCCCACCACCACCCGCCCUGACGCGUGAUGGCAGUCUCAUCCAGUGAACGAACGAGCCGCAUUGAAGAAAACGGAGACGAAGACGCAAUAAACCCAUGAAGAAAAAUGAAGGAAGAAUCAACAAGUGGGAGAAGACAUGAGAUAAACACAAUGAAAAAGAGGCGUUAGAAAAGAAGAAGGCAAAGAUGUGAAGCGAGGAGAGGAAAACACGAAACGGCUGAACUAAUGCGGGAGGAAUUGAGAGGUGGUGGGAGGGUGGUGAAGCGAAGAGGAACAGGGAGCCAACAACAGGUGGUAAUGUAGGAUCAGUCAGGCAACAGGUGGUGACGUAGGAUCAGUCAGGCAACAGGUGGUGACGUAGGAUCAGUCAGGCAACAGGUGGUGACGUAGGAUCAGUCAGGCAACAGGUGGUGACGUAGGAUCAGUCAGGCAACAGGUGGUGACGUAGGAUCAGUCAGGCAACAGGUGGUGACGUAGGAUCAGUCAGGCAACAGGUGGUGACGUAGGAACAGUCAGGCAACAGGUGGUGACGUAGGAACAGUCAGGCAACAGGUGGUGACGUAGGAACAGUCAGGCAACAGGUGGUGACGUAGGAACAGUCAGGCAACAGGUGGUGACGUAGGAUCAGUCAGGCAACAGGUGGUGACGUAGGAACAGUCAGGCAACAGGUGGUGACGUAGGAUCAGUCAGGCAACAGGUGGUGACGUAGGAUCAGUCAGGCAACAGGUGGUGACGUAGGAUCAGUCAGGCAACAGGUGGUGACGUAGGAUCAGUCAGGCAACAGGUGGUGACGUAGGAUUAGUCAACAGGAUCAAGGGUGGUACAUGUUAACGCGCUAAACUCCCACCAAUAUGUCAGGUGAGAAGGGUGUUAUCCAGUGUGACACUCACUACCAAACACCACGGGUUUCCCUGUCCCCGGUUACCUCCUGUACUAACACUGGAUACACCGCCCAAACGGCUGAUGACUGGCUAAUAUGAAUCAACAGAAUCAGUCACACCUCUCCUUGACCAAUGGAUCGAUCCUCAUUAUAAAUGGUCUUCCCUUGAAAAAUUUAUAUAUAUAUAUAUAUAUAUAUAUAUAUAUAUAUAUAUAUAUAUAUAUAUAUAUAUAUAUAUAUAUAUAUAUUCCUACGUGUCUUUUCUGUGUGUACAUAUUGUUGUAAUUAAAGAGCAGUCGUGUGCGCAGAAAGAAAAAUAAGUGGUAUAGAUAAGGCAAGCCAACCCAAGUUUAUAAUGGUUAUUUUUUUUAAAUCGUUGUUUUCUGGUUUUCUCUAUACCAUGAAAAAUAUUAUUGUUAUUUAUUUAAUGAUUUUUAUUUAUUUAUUUAUAAGUGUCUUAACUAACUGCUAAAGAAAGUUUAGGUGUUAAACUGUACAUUGUUAUACCUGUCUGUGAUACUUUGUCCUCAGAGCCCUACUCUCCCGCGGGAGUCUCCUCUCUCUUGUAUAUACAAAACUAUAAGUGUGCAAAUCGUCAAUCCCCACCAGGUGUUGACUUCUUACCGAUGCAGUAUUAGGUAGUCAAAUUCAUCAUGUGACGUGUGGACGUUCGCAUAUCACUGAAUAGUAGUGUUGUGGCCCAUAUCGAUGUCUAUACACAGGUUCUGACCUCUGAAUUAUUUGUAGCAGGUGAAAUACAGGCUUAGAUCCUUUACUAGAAGAUUUGUUCAUCUAUCUUUUUUUCAUAGUGUCGAGGAUUCGUUCAUCUAUGUUCCCCAAUGGCAGAGAAAAAUUAACGCACCGUCUAACAUUUUCUGAGAUGACAACCAUGCUGGAUGUUACCUAACCCUGAAUUACAUGUAGGAGGCAACUGGAAAUGUCGGGUAAGGUAGAGGAAAUUUAUGUAUUAACUCUGCAUCUAGGAUUUUUAGACUAACAAGUACUUUAAACUUUUAUUGUGUGUGUGCGGGGGGUAUGUGAGUGUUUGUGUGUGUAUGUGGGUACUUUUGCUGUAUAUGAUGCAAAGUUAUAAUAACGUUAAGUUGAACGUUAUGUAAGGCAGACGUUGAUAAUGACGAACGAGGUGUAUAGGUCGAAGCAAAGAUACAUUUUAUCAAUACAUUACUAGGAUCUAUGCCUGUGAACUUGCUCGUGACUAGCUUUUACUAGGUGUUGUAAUUACCUUUUUUCAUCCUCUCAAUAUACAGUCUAGCGUAAUUUACACUAAUUUCUACGGUGAACUGUAGCCUAAUUGAACCUAAUCAAGAUUAGAGGGCGUGAAGUUCGAAAAAAUAAGUUGAAAACAAAUUAAGGUGUAGAUGUGGUUUAUCAGAUGAAGGUUGUGACGGUAAAUUAUGUCAGAUGAUGUAGUAUUGUGUUGUAGAAUAGAAGAAUGUCCUUUUUUAGCGGUUAACAGUGGCAGAACGUUAGUCAAGCGCUCAAAAAUGGGAGAAUCUCCUAGUCCAACGUUCAACAAUGGGUAUAUGCCCUAACUUUGCCCUUGUUCAGCCUUCAACAAUGGGAGAAUGCCCUUGUCCAACAUUCAAAAAUGGUUAUAUGCGUUCAACAAAUAUAGAAUGAUCUAGUCUACUGUAUCGCACAAUAGGAAAAUGACCUUGUCCAGUGCUCAACGAUAGGAUAACCGUAACUUGGGCAAAUUUAAAAAUAAAAUAGUUUCCAAAGGUUUUGUGGUUAAAGUAUUCUAGAAAAGAAAAUCAGUUUAUGUACAAGGAGUUUCAGUCUCUUGGGGAAAUUACACAUUUAAAACAUAUGUACUGUACACCAUCUUUCACAGAACAUAACUUUAUCCUUGAAAAUUCUGGACUAAUAUUUGCAGGUAUCAUGACUGCCUUUGAUGCGUUCUUAAGACAACUUUGCCCGCGGGUAAGAAAAUGGCCACAGCGGAUAAGGCGAAGAAUGAUUAGGUAUAUACCGACGUGUGAAUGUGUCUUUUCCUCAAUGGGGACACUGUAAACACAGACAUCAAUGGACUUGUAAACAACCUAUAGAUACUGAUGUGCUAGUAUAACAGUGAUCUAGAAUAUCCACGAGCUUACAAUGGCUGUCAUGUCCAGUUGAGAAUCACAGAUGAAAAAACACACUUAGCGUAGUGAUGUAUAGUCUUCAUGGUGGCAUUAACUUGCACAAAAGUUUUAGCGGUGAAUAUUUCUCGGCCGAGUUCCGGUGGUGUGUUCACAGGGGUUAACUAACCCAGUUGAAUUAGAAGUUAAUUCGAUUGGCGACAAAAGACAAAACUCAGGCCUUAUUACGCAUUUCUAACGGAGAACAAUGCACCUGUUAAUCAAGGCGAUGAUUGAAUAUUUCAUGGCUCUACAACUUGUCUCAUUACGCUUCUAUUUAUACCAGACUCCUCAGUGUGAAUAUCUACGGCAUGUUCAUAUGUAAAUGGUAAUUCCUUUAAGGAGUAAAUAUUUUAUGUGUAUAUAUUCACAAUGCAUGUAAUGUCUGUGUCUUCUUCAACAGAUGCCUUCAACUGUAUAUUUGUGUUUAUGUGAUCGUAAUAAUGUGUGUAAAAGGGUUUCAAAAGUGUGAUUAUUCUUAAAAGCGUUGUUAUUUUACCCUGAAUAUAGUAAUUAACAUCUUAGUAGUGUUAGUAGUAGUUGUAGUAUUGAUAUUGGUCGUGUUAUCAGCAAGGAGAUACGGACUUUUUAACAUAGACACUUUAAGCAUCGUCUUUCCACACACACACACACACACACACACACACACACACACACACACACACGCGAUCCUUAAACUUUAUUGUAUCAACUUAAAACCUUUGAUAUCACUCCCCUUGAAUGCAAACCUUUCAAAGUGGAUCUUAUAUGUCUACGGAAGUUUCAUCUAGUAUAAAUCUUAUAUAAUUAUCCUAAGAAAAGAGUUACAAUAUCUGUAUUACUUUGCUCAUUUGAUAUUUGCUUUAUUUUCAUUAUUUGUUUUAAUAUUUGGUUAUUGUGUCUAGUAGUAUUAGCCUAGUAAUAUAAAACUGAAUUCUGUUUUAGGUUAAUUAGAAUACUCUAUUUUAUUUAAUCCUCGGUGCUUUAACAUACAACUUUGAUCAGUGUUUAUAUGCUUACUUAAAGACUCAGUGUUACCAGCUUCUGCCUACAAUACAACAUGAAUGUGCCUAUAUCUACAAGUGUAUCUUGUCAGCCUUUCUUGGUGUGGUAAAAUUUUUUGUAUGUUUCGCAAGUUCUAGUAUAAACUUUUUCUGACUUAUUGUCUAAUAAUCCAUUGUU